Molecule: long non-coding RNA, 301 nt
Filed under: Ananas comosus (pineapple)
Lineage: Eukaryota; Viridiplantae; Streptophyta; Magnoliopsida; Poales; Bromeliaceae
Description: long non-coding RNA (ACOM_LNC015808)
Source: RNAcentral
UUCAUAUUUGGUACGUUAUGUACUUAAGUAGAGAAAUUGUUUUUUUUGAGAAUAAGUAGUACGCUACCUGUUUCAUUUUUUGAAAAUAUGAAUUAGGCUACAGUGGUGAGAUAAUAAGGGCCUCGGAAAAAACAUCGAAUCGAAAAAAAAAGAAAAAGAAAAAGAAAAAGAAAGAAGAUCAUAGUAGGUCGUUCUAAGAGUCAAUCAGUUGCUUGAGGCUUCGCACGGCUAAUACAGGAUCGAUCUGUAUGUUGCGAAAAUAAAAUUAUUUCUGACCUUGCAGAUGGUCCACCGGCAUGCC